This 253-nucleotide ribosomal RNA is filed under the name uncultured bacterium. RNAcentral's name for it is "partial 16S ribosomal RNA". It matches the Rfam family "Bacterial small subunit ribosomal RNA", at positions 524 to 776 of the family's 1533-position model. The record is from RNAcentral.
UACGAAGGGGGCGAGCGUUGUUCGGAUUUACUGGGCGUAAAGGGCGCGUAGGCGGCCUUGUCAGUCAGGCGUGAAAGCCCCGGGCUCAACCUGGGAACGGCGCUUGGGACGGCGAGGCUGGAGUUCGGGAGAGGAGAGUGGAAUUCCCAGUGUAGAGGUGAAAUUCGUAGAUAUUGGGAAGAACACCGGUGGCGAAGGCGGCUCUCUGGACCGACACUGACGCUGAGGCGCGAAAGCGUGGGGAGCGAACAGG